GUUUUAUAAUGUUAAGGUAUAUCCUGUGAUGGUUGAAGUAUGUCAUGUACUACUUGCCUUUGAUUUUAUAGGGGAUUAUACUCAAGAUAUUCCAUGAUUCUCAGAAGAGACUUGGGACUUUCAAACAUUGUUGUGGUGUGUUAGACUAUCGGGACUUUUGGAGUUGGAGUUAAUAUAUUUUGUAUAGUGUAAUGCUAGAGCUUGUCAUAAUCCCAUUGCCUCAUGUGUUUAAACAAGACUAUGAAUGCCAUAGACUGGAAUGUGAUUGGUGAGAUAUGUUUAGCCUAUGAGAAGUAGUUUGCAAUAAUCAGGUAUGUGGCCUUGUUGGGGAAGGUAUAGCUUUCCUACAGGAAGUGUGUCAGAUUGUGUCACAAUGGAGGCAGUGCUUUGAAAUGUCAGGACAUUGUCAAUUCUGGGCAGAGUGAUCCAGACCAUACUCCUGGCUGGCUGUAAAAGAGAGUCUCCUAACUGGAUAAAGCUGUAGAACCCUUGGCUCCUCCAGCACCAUGGCUUCCUAUAUGCUGUCAGGCUUCCUGACAUGAUCGUAAUAUUAGGAAUUUACUAGCAGGGCUGAUGGUAUUGCUAUGGUAGGUCUGACCAUAGUUUUGUUUGAAGGAAUAAUUAUUUUAGGAUUUUGUAAUGGAGGGGAGGCUUUAAAUGGGGCUCAUCGGUCCAUAGGAUUAGAAGCAUGGAAGACAGUGUUGCUGAGAGUGAUUUCAACUGUGGGGGCCUGUCUCUAAGAAACUUCAAAGGAGAAGACUCAUAAACCUGAAUCUCCAAAGUGUCCCCAGAUAAUAUUAUGAUGACAAUCAUCCAUGAGCCAUCAAUGUCCAUAUUGAAACCUACAAUCAUUGUUGCUUCUGAAGAGAUUUCUAACGUCAAGGAUCCCUGAAGCCAGCAGAAUGUACGCUGAAGUUCACAGUCAAUACUGCAACCUCAGGUCAUGUUGAGAGUUCCACAUAUAGUGAGUUGAGGUCACAUAUAUACUGGCAACAGACAACAGUGCAUGUAUGUGAUACUUCAGGCCUCAGCAGCCUGAUAUCAUUGAUCUCCACUGCCUCACGAGAGCACAUUAAUAUGAGUGUCUCCAACUGCCAGUAAAAUCAUUACAGAUAUCAGUUAUCCAUGAUCCUGUCCAACUUGUGAGAAGGGUUCUGCCAGCUGUAACCAUUUUUAUGUCAUGUUGUAUCCUGUCACUAAACAAGAGGUUUCUGUUCAUGGCCAUACCUGCUAUCUGAAACUAUCUUAAUGUCCCUGAUAUUCAUGGCAACUGACACCAUGGUGUAUCUCUGAUCCUUCCUGCAACUUUGGAUCAGUUGAUAACAUGAGAAAUACCGGCAUCCAAAGAAAAUACAUUGAUAUUACUCAUAUACAAUGCCACUGGUAACAAUACUGAGAUCCAUAGUCAGUGUUGUGCUGGAAAAGAUCCCUGAUGUCUUAGAUCCCAAUGCCAGAAGAGUCUAUUAUAAAGAUCAUUGUCAGUAGUGCUGCCUACUGUCAUAAUGAGGUAAGUACUGUGUUUUGUUAAUGAAGACACCAUUGAUGCCAGUGAUCCUACCUGCAACCUGAAGUUAUGUUAAGGUCACUGCUGUUUGAAGUGAUCAGCAAUCAAGAUGGAGUCCAUUGUUAAUAUCACUGAAGGUGAUCUUGGCGAUGGCUAUGAUCUACAUUGUUUCUGGAGAACCUGAUGAAUGCCAAGGUCCAUACUGAUGCAGAACGUCAUUUUGAGGUAAUUGUUUUGAGCUGGCACUGGAGAUCUGAUUGAUAGCUGAGAUUCGACCCAUCACAGUAAAUUCAGUUGAAGUUUCUGAUGCAUGCAUGUAUCCUCCGAUGUUGAUCAUGCAAAGUAUUUUGAUGCCAGCAAUCCUACCUGUAUCAUGAAGCUCUGUUGAUGUCAGUGAUGUAUUCUGUGUCCAGAAAUAAUGAAGGAGUACAUUUUUCAUAUUGGUGAUGGAGUCUCUGAUGAUGGCUAAGAUAUGUGUUGCUGUUCGAGCACCUGAUAAAUUCCAAGGUCCUUAUUGAUUCCUGAAUUCAUAUUGAGGAAAUUCUGUUGAUGUUCCUGAUGCAUGCAUAUAGGUCCAGAUGCUAUAUGUGCAAUAUAUGAUGAUGCCUAUGAUAAUAUCUGAAACAUAAACCUAUGUAGAUGUAAAUGCUGCAUGAUAUGAGCUGCAAUCAUGAUGGAGUCCCUUAUUCCUAUCGUUGAUGGCAUAUCAUAGUUAAGGCUAUGAUCUGUGUUGCUGUUUGAGAAUCUGGUGAAUUUGACAGUCAAUACUGAAGCCCAAGGUCAUAUUGAGAACCUGAAUCUCCAAAGUGUCCCCAGAUAAUAUUAUGAUGACAAUCAUCCAUGAGCCAUCAAUGUCCAUAUUGAAACCUACAAUCAUUGUUGCUUCUGAAGAGAUUUCUAACGUCAAGGAUCCCUGAAGCCAGCAGAAUGUACGCUGAAGUUCACAGUCAAUACUGCAACCUCAGGUCAUGUUGAGAGUUCCACAUAUAGUGAGUUGAGGUCACAUAUAUACUGGCAACAGACAACAGUGCAUGUAUGUGAUACUUCAGGCCUCAGCAGCCAUGAUAUCAUUGAUCUCCACUGCCUCACGAGAGCACAUUAAUAUGAGUGUCUCCAACUGCCAGUAAAAUCAUUACAGAUAUCAGUUAUCCAUGAUCCUGUCCAACUUGUGAGAAGGGUUCUGCCAGCUGUAACCAUUUUUAUGUCAUGUUGUAUCCUGUCACUAAACAAGAGGUUUCUGUUCAUGGCCAUACCUGCUAUCUGAAACUAUCUUAAUGUCCCUGAUAUUCAUGGCAACUGACACCAUGGUGUAUCUCUGAUCCUUCCUGCAACUUUGGAUCAGUUGAUAACAUGAGAAAUACCGGCAUCCAAAGAAAAUACAUUGAUAUUACUCAUAUACAAUGCCACUGGUAACAAUACUGAGAUCCAUAGUCAGUGUUGUGCUGGAAAAGAUCCCUGAUGUCUUAGAUCCCAAUGCCAGAAGAGUCUAUUAUAAAGAUCAUUGUCAGUAGUGCUGCCUACUGUCAUAAUGAGGUAAGUACUGUGUUUUGUUAAUGAAGACACCAUUGAUGCCAGUGAUCCUACCUGCAACCUGAAGUUAUGUUAAGGUCACUGCUGUUUGAAGUGAUCAGCAAUCAAGAUGGAGUCCAUUGUUAAUAUCACUGAAGGUGAUCUUGGCGAUGGCUAUGAUCUACAUUGUUUCUGGAGAACCUGAUGAAUGCCAAGGUCCAUACUGAUGCAGAACGUCAUUUUGAGGUAAUUGUUUUGAGCUGGCACUGGAGAUCUGAUUGAUAGCUGAGAUUCGACCCAUCACAGUAAAUUCAGUUGAAGUUUCUGAUGCAUGCAUGUAUCCUCCGAUGUUGAUCAUGCAAAGUAUUUUGAUGCCAGCAAUCCUACCUGUAUCAUGAAGCUCUGUUGAUGUCAGUGAUGUAUUCUGUGUCCAGAAAUAAUGAAGGAGUACAUUUUUCAUAUUGGUGAUGGAGUCUCUGAUGAUGGCUAAGAUAUGUGUUGCUGUUCGAGCACCUGAUAAAUUCCAAGGUCCUUAUUGAUUCCUGAAUUCAUAUUGAGGAAAUUCUGUUGAUGUUCCUGAUGCAUGCAUAUAGGUCCAGAUGCUAUAUGUGCAAUAUAUGAUGAUGCCUAUGAUAAUAUCUGAAACAUAAACCUAUGUAGAUGUAAAUGCUGCAUGAUAUGAGCUGCAAUCAUGAUGGAGUCCCUUAUUCCUAUCGUUGAUGGCAUAUCAUAGUUAAGGCUAUGAUCUGUGUUGCUGUUUGAGAAUCUGGUGAAUUUGACAGUCAAUACUGAAGCCCAAGGUCAUAUUGAGAACCUGAAUCUCCAAAGUGUCCCCAGAUAAUAUUAUGAUGACAAUCAUCCAUGAGCCAUCAAUGUCCAUAUUGAAACCUACAAUCAUUGUUGCUUCUGAAGAGAUUUCUAACGUCAAGGAUCCCUGAAGCCAGCAGAAUGUACGCUGAAGUUCACAGUCAAUACUGCAACCUCAGGUCAUGUUGAGAGUUCCACAUAUAGUGAGUUGAGGUCACAUAUAUACUGGCAACAGACAACAGUGCAUGUAUGUGAUACUUCAGGCCUCAGCAGCCAUGAUAUCAUUGAUCUCCACUGCCUCACGAGAGCACAUUAAUAUGAGUGUCUCCAACUGCCAGUAAAAUCAUUACAGAUAUCAGUUAUCCAUGAUCCUGUCCAACUUGUGAGAAGGGUUCUGCCAGCUGUAACCAUUUUUAUGUCAUGUUGUAUCCUGUCACUAAACAAGAGGUUUCUGUUCAUGGCCAUACCUGCUAUCUGAAACUAUCUUAAUGUCCCUGAUAUUCAUGGCAACUGACACCAUGGUGUAUCUCUGAUCCUUCCUGCAACUUUGGAUCAGUUGAUAACAUGAGAAAUACCGGCAUCCAAAGAAAAUACAUUGAUAUUACUCAUAUACAAUGCCACUGGUAACAAUACUGAGAUCCAUAGUCAGUGUUGUGCUGGAAAAGAUCCCUGAUGUCUUAGAUCCCAAUGCCAGAAGAGUCUAUUAUAAAGAUCAUUGUCAGUAGUGCUGCCUACUGUCAUAAUGAGGUAAGUACUGUGUUUUGUUAAUGAAGACACCAUUGAUGCCAGUGAUCCUACCUGCAACCUGAAGUUAUGUUAAGGUCACUGCUGUUUGAAGUGAUCAGCAAUCAAGAUGGAGUCCAUUGUUAAUAUCACUGAAGGUGAUCUUGGCGAUGGCUAUGAUCUACAUUGUUUCUGGAGAACCUGAUGAAUGCCAAGGUCCAUACUGAUGCAGAACGUCAUUUUGAGGUAAUUGUUUUGAGCUGGCACUGGAGAUCUGAUUGAUAGCUGAGAUUCGACCCAUCACAGUAAAUUCAGUUGAAGUUUCUGAUGCAUGCAUGUAUCCUCCGAUGUUGAUCAUGCAAAGUAUUUUGAUGCCAGCAAUCCUACCUGUAUCAUGAAGCUCUGUUGAUGUCAGUGAUGUAUUCUGUGUCCAGAAAUAAUGAAGGAGUACAUUUUUCAUAUUGGUGAUGGAGUCUCUGAUGAUGGCUAAGAUAUGUGUUGCUGUUCGAGCACCUGAUAAAUUCCAAGGUCCUUAUUGAUUCCUGAAUUCAUAUUGAGGAAAUUCUGUUGAUGUUCCUGAUGCAUGCAUAUAGGUCCAGAUGCUAUAUGUGCAAUAUAUGAUGAUGCCUAUGAUAAUAUCUGAAACAUAAACCUAUGUAGAUGUAAAUGCUGCAUGAUAUGAGCUGCAAUCAUGAUGGAGUCCCUUAUUCCUAUCGUUGAUGGCAUAUCAUAGUUAAGGCUAUGAUCUGUGUUGCUGUUUGAGAAUCUGGUGAAUUUGACAGUCAAUACUGAUGCCCAAGGUCAUAUUGAGGAGAAAUGUUUUACCAGUCUAACCGUUUUGAUGUCAUGAUGCAGCCUACCACUACAGAAGAGGUUUCUGUACAAGGUCCUACUGAUCAUCUGAAUAUGCAGAGUACUGGAUAUGCAUAAUACUUCCUGGCAAAAGUCAAGAUGGCAUAUUCCAGAUCAAUGCUGCCAUAAGCAGCAAGGUUAUGACUAAUACUUGCUGUCACUUUGGACCUGAUCGAUGACAUCAAUGAUCCCAACUGUCAAAGGAAGUAUAUUGAUGUCACUCAUCCAUGAUGCUACUGGUGAUCAUGUUGAAAUCCAAAGUCAGUGUUUUCAUGGAAGUAUUCCCCGAUGUGUGAGAUCUCUGAGACAGCAGAGUCUUUCGUGAAGUUCAUGAUCAGUAGUGAUGCCCAAGGUCAUAAUGAGGUAAGUGUUGUGUGCUGCUACAGGAGAUGCAUUGGAUGCCUGUGACUACCUGAAACAUGAAGUUAUUCUGAUGCCAGUGCUCCAGCUGUGACCAGCAAUCAUUAUGGAGUCCAUUAUUCCUAUUACUGAUUGAGACCCUGGUGAUUGCUAUGAUCUCAUUUGCUUCUGGAAAACUACCUGAAUGCCAAUGUCCAUACAGACAACUGAUGUCAUAUUGAGUGUUCUGAGAUGACACUGGAGAACAGAUUGAUGGCUGAGAUCCUAAGUGUCACAGGGAAUUCUGUUGAUGUUCCUGACAAAAACAUGUAGUCUGUGAUGUCUAUCAUGGAAUGUAUCUUGAUGCCUGUGAUCCUACCUUUAACAAGAAGCUAUGUUGAUAUCAGUGAUACAUUCUGUGACCAGCAAUCAUGAAGGAGUCCAUUAUUCCUAUUGGUGAUGGAGAUCCUGGAAUGGCUAUGAUCUACAUUUCUGCUUGAGAACCUGAUAAAUUCCAAGGUUCUUAUUGAUGCCUUCUAGCAUACUGAGGUAAGUGUUCUUAGUUGGCCCUGGAUAUCAUAUUGAUGUCUGAGAUCCUACCUCCCACAGGAAAUUCAGAAGAUGUCAUGGGUGCAUGCAUGUAGCUCCUGCUGUUAAUCAUCAUUACCACCCCAAGAAGUGGAAGUGAUGCCUAAUAUCUAUCCUGCCACUGGAGAAGAGGUUUAUAAUCAUAAUUUCAUCUGCUGUUCGAAUUGUUGCUGAUGUCACUGAAAUAUACCUGGCAAGAGACACCACAGUAUUGCCCAUCAUCCAUACUGCUUUUGACAAAGUUGUCAGUGAUCUCUGAUUCCACUGGGAACCAUGCUAAUAUCACUAAUCCAAAGUGCCUACAGCAACUUGGAUGGUGUGAAUCAUCCAUCCUGUACCAGGAGCUAUGUUGAAACCCAUAGAAUAUAUUGCUUCUGAAGACAUGAUUAUUGUUAAUGGUACCUGAAUCCAUCAAAGUAAGGUGAAGUUCAAGUUCAAUAGUGCUGCCAAUGGUAAUGUUUAGUUAUAUUUUCUGACAUAUGUUAUGUUGAGAGCAUAUAAAUUGUGGUGAUGUACACUGGUGUAUGUCCAUAAUACCUCAGGCCUCCAACAGCCAUGCAAGUAAUACCUGCUGCCAUUAGGGAUAGGAGUUUAUCCAACUGCCAAUGGAAUUAUUACUGAUAUCUGUUUUCCAUUCUUCUGCUCAAUUUAUGAGAAUAUUCUUGCCCUCUAUAACAAUUUUGAUGUCAUGAUGCAUCCUGCCACUAGAGAAGAGGUUUAUGUUCAUGACCAUACUUCUCCUCUGAAACUAUUUUGAUGCUCCCUAAUACUUUGUGGCAACUGACUCUACUUUAUAUCCCACAACCCUGAUGCCAUAGGCAACCAGGUCAGGGGUGAAGCUUACUCCCACUUUGGACCAUUCAAUGAAACCAGAGACCACAACUGCCAAGGGAAGUAUAUUGAUAUCACUCAUCCAUGAUACCACUGGUAACCAUGUUGAGAUCCAUAGUCAAUGUUUGUAGGUGGAAUGGCUUAGCAACAAAUGUUGCCUUUGACGAGCUCCUUGGCUGCUGAGAUCCCUUGGCCACUAGAGUCUAUUGUAAAGAUCAUUGUCAUUAUGGCUGCCUAAGUUUAUAAACAGGAAAGAGCCGUAUACUAUUACUGUCAUCACCUUUGAUGUCAGUGAUCAUAUCUUCAUUUUGAAGUUCUGCUGAUAUCAUUGUAUGCUCUAAUCAGCCAGCGUGAUAGAGGCCAUUGUUCCUAUUACAUAUGGAAAACCUAAUGAUGACUAGAAUCUGUGUUGCUUCUGGAGAAACUUCUGAAUUCCAAGGACCUUGGGACCAAUAUCAUCCAAGGUCAUAUUGAGGGUAAGUGUUGUUAGCUGACAAAACUAAUCUCUGAGAUCCUACCCACCACAGGGAAUUCUACUGAUGUUCCUGAUGCAUGCAUGUAGCUCCUGAUGUGAAAAAACAUUGUAUUUUGAUGCUUAUGAUCCUACCUGUAACAAGAAGUUGUGCUGAUACCAGUGCUGCAUGUGGUGACUAGAAAUCAUGAUGGUGUCCAUUAUUCCUAAUGCUGAUGGUGAUGGCUCUUAUUUGUGUUGCUGCUUGAGAAUCCAAUGAAUCCCAAGGUCCAUACUGAUGCCCAUGAUCAUUUUGAUGUAAAUAUUUUUAGCUGGUACUGGAGAUCCGAUUGUUAUCUAGAAGCCUACCCGAAACAGGAAAAUUGGUUGAUGUUCCUUAUACAUGUGUGUAGCCCCCCAUUUUAAACAUGUAAUAAAUAUUGAUGCCUGUGAUCCUGCCUGAAACAUGAAGCUGUUUUGAUGUCAGCACUGUUUGAUGACCAGCAAUCAUGAUGGAAUCUAUUAUUUCCAUUGCUAAUGGACACACUGGUGAUGGCUAUGAUCUAUGCUUUUGCUUGAGAACCCGAUGAAUCCAAAGGUCUGUAAUGAUGUGGUAGGUGAUAUUGAGGUAAGUGUUCUGAGCUAGCAAUGGAGAUCAUAUUGAUAUAUGAGAUCCUAUCUGCCACAGGAAAUUCUGUUGAGAUCACUGAUACAUGAAUGCAGCCCCUGAUUUUUGACCUUGUUACGUGCAAGAUCCUUACUGCUACCUGAAGUGAUAGUGAUAACAGUGAUCUAUCCUGCCACUAGGGAAGAGAUGUAUGAUUUGCCCUAUGAAUUGAUGAUGAUGUCACUGAUAUAUACCUGGCAACAUACACCAUGGUAUUGUCCAAGGUCCAUGCUGCCAUUGACAACCUGGUUGUCAGUAAUCCCUGCUGCACCUGCUUACCAUGUUAAUAUCACCAUUACCAAAUGCUUGUAGAAACUAUGAUGGUUUCAGUAGCCAUGUUUAAAAUCAUAGUCCAUGAUGCCUCUUAGGAUAUUUUUAAUGCAAAUGAUCCCUGGGGCUAGCAGAAUCUAAGGUAAUGUUUUAGGUCAAUACUGAUGUCUGAGAUCAUGUUGAGUCAUAUGUUCUGAGAUAUAUUAUGGUGAAGUCACAUAUAGUGUGGCAACAGACACGGUUGUCUGUUAUAUAUAUUUCAGUCUUCCAGCAGUCAUGUCCGUGAUCCCUGCUGCCUCUUGGGAACACAUUAAUAUCACUGUUUCUAACUGGCAAUGGCAUCGUCACUGAUGCCAAUUUUCUAAGAUUCUGCCCAAUUCAUGAGAAGGGUUCUUCUAGCUGUAACCAUUUUUAUGUCAUGUUGCAUUCUGUCACUAGACAAGAGGUUUCUGUACAUGGUCAUACCUGCCCUAUGAAACUGUCUUGAUAUCCCUGGCAACAGAUAUACCAUAGUAUAUUUCAGAUUCCUAUGCCCACAGUCAACCAGGCAGUGAAUAAUUGCUACUACCACUUUGGAACAAAUUGAUGACAUUCGUGAUCCCAACUGCCAAGGGAAAAAUAUUGAUGUCGUUCAUCUAUGCUGUCAUUUGUAUCCACAUUGUGAACCAUAAGUAGCAUGUUUGAAGAGGCCUUGAUGUCUGUGAUAACUCAACCAGAAUAAUCUGUUGUGAAUUUCAGUGUUAGUUCUGGUGCUAAAGGUCAUAAUGAGGCAAGUCCUGUGUGUUCCUACUGGAGACAUGUGAUGCUAGUGAUGCUAGUGAUGUUGAUGCUAGUGAUCAUGUGUGAAACCUGAAGCUGUGUUGAUGUCAGUGCUGCAUGCUAUAACCAGAAAUCAUGAUGGAGUCUAUUAUUGUGAUGGCUAUGAUCUGUGCUGCUUCUGGAGAACAUGCUAAAUUCUGAGGUCCAUACUGACACAUGAGGUCAUAGUGAGGUAAGUGUUCUUAUCUGGCACGUGAGAUCAGAUUGAUUUAUGAGAUCCAACUUGCCAUAGGAAAUUCUGUUCGUGUCCCUGAUGCAUACAUGUAGAACCUACUAUCAACCAUGAAACACACAAUAUCCUUACUACCACCAUAAGUGCUAGUUUUGUCAAUAAUAUAUCCUGUCACUGGAGAAGGGUUUGUGACCAUAAUUUCUUCUCUCCUGUGAAUCAGUGCUGAUGGCACUGAUAUAUACCUGGCAGCAGACACCAUGGUAUUGUCCAAGAUAAUUGAUGCCAAUGGCAAACUUAUUGUCAGUGAUCCUAGCUUCAUGGGGUACCAUGUUUAUGUCACUAAUGCAAAGAGGCUGCAGAGACUUUGAUUAUGUGAGUCAUACAUGCUGCCUCUAGUAGCCAUGUUGAAAUCCAUAGUCAGUGUUGGUGCUGAAGACAUUGUGGAUGUUAAGAAUCCCUGAGAUCAUCAGAAUCUACAAUGAAAUUCAGUCAAUAAUGCUGUCUUGGAUCAUGUUGAGUUACAUGUUCUGAGACAAGAUAUAUGUUGAGUAUGUAUUUAUAAAAGUCAGACACCACUGUGUGUCUAUAAUUCUUCUGGUCUCUAGUAGCCAAUAUGUCAUUGAGCCCUUAUGACAUUUGUGACCACAUUAAUAUGACUUUAUUAAUUGCCAACGGAAUCACUACUGAUGCUUAUUAUCUAUGCUUCUGCAGAAAAUCUAAGAAGUAUCUUGCAUUCAUAAGUAAUUUGAUGCAAUGAUUCACUCUACAACUAGAAAUAAGGUUUCUCUAUAUGGUCAUACCUGCACUUUGAAAGUAUUUUCAUGUCCUUUGUACUUCCUGGCAAUGGACACCAUGUUAUCUCACAGAUCCCUGCUGCCAUAGACAACCAGAUCAUGAGUGAUCCCUAUUCCCACUUUGGACCAAAUUGAUAACAUCUGUGAUCCCAACUACCAAGGGAAAUACUGACAUUACUGAUAAUAAUCCAUGUUGUCACUGAUAAUCAUGUUGACAUCCAUAAUCUGUGUGGUCAUUGCAAAUAGCAAUGUUAAGAAUCCCUGAGACCAUCAGAAUCUAUAAUGAAGUUCAGUCAAUAGUGCUGCCUUUGAUAAUGUUGAGUUACAUGUUCUGAGAUAUGUUAUGUUGAGGUCAUACAUAUAGUCACACCAGACACCACUGUAUGUCCAUGAUAUUUCAGGCCUCUAGUUAAAUCAACCAGAAGGAUCUAUUGUGAAUUCCACGGUAAUUCAAUCCCUGUCUAAAGUCAAAGUGAGGUAAGUGUUGUGUGCUGCUACUGGAGACAUGUUUGAUGUCUGUGAUCCUAACGGCAACCUGAAGCUAUGUUGAUGGCAAUGCUGAAUCAUGAUGGACUCCAGGAUUCCUAUUGCUGAUAGAGACCAUGGUUAUGGCUAGGAUCUCUGCUGCUAUUUAAGGACAUGUUAAUUCUAAGGUCUAUACUGACAGUUGAGGUGAUAUUGAGGUAUGUGUUCUGAGUUGGCACUAGAGAUCACAUUAAUAUCUGAGAUCCUGCCUGCUACAGGAAAUUCUGUUGAUGUCCCUGAUGCAUGCAUGAAUCCCCUGAUGUAAACCAUGAGUUCACUGAUAUAUACAUCAUUGGAAGAGACAGCACUGUAUGUCUAUAUUCUUUAAUGCCACAAGCAGCCAUAUUGUCAGUGAUUCUUUCCCCACUUGGGACCACAUUAAUAUGAAUGAUUCCAAUUGUCAUUGGAAUCUAUACUGAUGUGAGUGAUGCAUGCUUCUGUCACCUGUGAGAAUGUUCUUUAUGAGAAGUAUACUCGUAGCUAUAAUAAUUUUGAAGUCAAUGAUUCAUUCUGACACUAUAGAUAUUAUUACUUCUCAUGGUCCUCCCUGCCCUAUGAAACUACCAUGAUGUUCCUGAUACUUCCUGGCAAUUGACAUCAUAGUAUAUCCAAGAUUCCCUAAUGCUACAGGCAACCAGGAUUUUAAUGAUCCCUAUUGAUACUUUGGACUAAAUGUGAUAUCAAUUGUCCUAUUUGCUAAGAGAAAUAUAUUGAUUUUACUCACCUGUUUUACUGUUUAUAACCACAUUGAGAUCCAUAGUCAGUGCUGUUUCUAAAGACCUUCUUGAUGUCUAUGAUCAAUGUGGCCAGCGUGUCAAUUGUGAAGUUCAUGGUCACAACUGCUUCCAAAGAUCAUAAUGAGGAAGACCUUAUUGAUGACAAGGAUCUGUGCUGCUGCAUGAGAACAGGCUGAAUUCCAAGUUCUAUACUGAUGUGCAGGGUCAUAUUGAGACCUCAUUAUGAGUAAUAUCCUUUCUGCCACAAGAAGAAAUUUGAUAUAAUUGAUUCAUCCUGCUACUGGAGAAGAGACUUAUGUUCAUAAUUUCUUCUACCCUCUGAAUCAACACUGAUGUCAGUGAUACAAUUGUCAACAGAUAUCAUACUAUAUCUAUAGUCCCUGCUGCAAUAGCAAGCAUCAUAUUAAAUAUUUGUGCUGCCAUUUUGGACCAGGAUGAUAUCAGUUACCACAACUGCCAACAGAAAUAUAGUGAUGUCACUCAUCCAUGCUUCUACCUGUAAAUAUAUUACUAUCCAUAGAUGUUGCUGCCUCUGAAGAGCUUUGUGAUGUCUGUUAUCCAUGGUGCUAGAAGAGUCUGUCUUGAAGUUCAUGGUCGAUAAUACUGCCUAAGUCAUGUUGAUGUAUGUGUACUAUGCUGCCACCAGAGACGUGUUUUAUGACUGUGACCUGACUUGCCUCCUGAAGCAGUGUUGAUGUCAUGGCUGCAUACUGACAUCACUAAUUGUGAUGGUGUUUAUUGUUCCAGUGGCAGGUAGGACCUGCCCUAUGAAACUAACAUGUACCAAGGGAUAAAUGCAUGCAUUAAGGACAUGUACCAGUACAACAAAACACAGGAGUGUAUGAAAUGCCUUUUAUGCAUGCAUGAAGCCCCUGCUGACUAAUCAUAACUCUUUUGACUAUAUUAUGCAUAAGAUCCUCACUGAAAUCAGAAGAAUUGUUCAAGAUGUCAUUGAUCCAUCCUGACAAUGGAGAAGAUGUUUAUGUUAAUAUUCUCUCUUGCCCUCUGAAUCUAUACCAAUGUCCAUGAUAUGCUCAGAAACAGAUACAAUGGUAUUGCCCAAGAUAAAUGCUGCCACAGGUAACCUUGAUUUUAGUGAUCCCUGUUGCAAAUGAGUACAAUGUUAAUAUCACUAAUUCAAAGUGCCACCAGAAACUAUGCUGAUGUCCAUCAUCAAUGAUAACACCGGCAUCAAGGUUGAAUGCCAUAGUCCAUGUUGGUUCUGAAGAGACUGAUAAUGUAAAGGAAACCUGUUGCUACCAAAGUCUAUGGUGAAGUUCAUAGUCAAUAUUGCUAACUAAGGUUUUGUUGAGUUAACCUUUCUGUGAUAUGUUGAGGUCAGUGAUACAUUAAGGCAACAAACACCAUUGUAUGCCCAUGAAUUUUGAUGCAAUGAGCAGCUAUAAUGUCAGUGAUCACUGGUGACACAUGUGACCACAUUAAUCUGAGUGAUUCCAGCUGCCACCAGAACCUAUACUGAUGUCUGUGAUCCAUUUUUCUGCCAUCUGAGACUAUGUUAUAUAAUAAAUAUAUGCUGCCAGCUGUACCACAUUUUAUGUCAAGGAUCCAUCCUGCCAAUAGAAAUGAAGUUUCUGUUCAUAGUCUGAUCUGUCCUCUGAAACUGCAUCAAUGUUACUGAUACCUUCUAGAAGCAAACACUAUGGUGUAUCCUAGAUCACUGAGGCCUCUGGCCCACCAGCAACCAUGAUGAUGUCCAUUAUUCCUAUUGAGGUCCUACCUGCCACAGGAAACUAUGGUGAUGUCCCUGACGUAUGAUUGUAGUUGCUUUGUAGAGCAUGCCAUGUAUAAGAUCCUAACUGUCACCAGAAUAGUUAUUGAUAUAAAUUCUGCAACCUUAUAGAUACUUUCCAGCUGUAACUAUUUUGAUGUUGAGGAUCUAUGCUGGAACUAGAGAAGAGGUUUCAGUAUAUGAUCUGAACUUCCAGUGAAACUAUGAUGUCAAUGACAACUCCACAGUAACAAAAAUUACAGUAUAUCCCGGAUCCAUUCUGUCACAAGUUACAAGAUGUUAGUGAUCCCAGGUCCCGCUAUGGAUUGGGAUGAUUAUAUUAGCGAUCCCACUUUUCCAGUGGAAGCAAUGUUCAUGUCAGUGCUACCUGUUGUCAUCAGCAAACAAUAUGAUGUCCUUCAUUGCUAUUGAGAUUCUACCUGCUACAAGAAACUAUGGUGAGGUCCCUGAUGCGUGCAUUUAUCCCUUGCUACAGACUAUCAUGUAUACUACCACCAGAAGUGAUGUUUGUGUUAGUGAUCCAUCCUGUGACAUUAGAAGAGAUUUAUGCCAAUAGACUCUUUCCCUCUGAGUAUAUACUGACGUCACUGACAUACCUAGCAACAUAUAUGGUAGGAUAGCACAAGAUCCAUGCUGCUACAGGCAACCUCAUCAAUGUUCCCUGUUGCCACUGGAAAUUAUACAAUCAUCACCAAUCUAACCUGCCCUCAGAAAUUAUGUUGAUGUCCAUCAUCCAUGAUGCCAACAGUACCCAUGUUACACAUAGUCCAUGUUGCUUCUGAAGAGAAUGUUAAUAUUAAGGAGUUCUCCAGCCACCAGUGUCUAUUCUGAAGUUUAUAGUCAAUAUUGUUGCCUGAGGUCAUGUUGUGAAGUGUUCUGAGAUAUGUUAUAUUGAGAUCAUUGGUAUAUUUUGGGAAAAGAUACCAUUGUGUGUCCACAAUCCUUGAUGCCAGGAACAGCCAGUAUGGUCGUGUUCUCUGCUGCCAAUUGGAAUAUGAAUUAUUCAAAUACUACCUGAAUCUAUGCUUAUGUCAGCAAUCAAUACUUAUGCCAUCUCGUACCAUGAUUUGUGCUGCUGGUUGCAACCAAUUUGAUGUCAAAGGUCUAUCCUGCCACUAGAGUAGACAUUACUUGCCAUGGUCUGAUACAUCCUCUGAAACUGUGUACAUGUCAAAAAUAUCUCCUGGCAAUAAACACCAUGGUUUAAGCCUGAUGAUGGCUGCUACUAGCCACCAGGAUAUUAGGGAUAUUAUGAUACUUUGGACUGUAAGGAUUAUAUCAUUCAUAACAAUUGCAAAGGAAAAUAUCUUGAUGCCACUUAACACUGCUGCCUAUGGUAACCAUGUUUAUAUCCCUAGUCAGUGUUUACCUUCAGGAGCUUGGUGAUGUCUGUGAGCCCUACUGCCGGAAGAGUCUAUCUUGAAGUACAUAAUACUGCUGCCUAUUUCAUGUUAAGUGUUCUGAAGGCCAUCUGAGAAAUAUGUGUGAUGAUACUUGCAACUGGAAUCUAUAACGAUAUCAAUACUGCCUGCUGUCACAAGCAAACAGGAUUGUGUCCAUAGAUACUAUUGAGAUACAACUUCCACAAGAAACUAUGAUGAUUUCCCUGAUGCAUGCAUGCACCCCACAAUGUAGACCACAUUAAAUAAAAUAGCCUUUUUGACACCAGA
Rattus norvegicus (Norway rat) is the source of this 15008-nucleotide non-coding RNA. The record is from RefSeq and is a predicted model, not a curated record. Lineage: Eukaryota; Metazoa; Chordata; Mammalia; Rodentia; Muridae.